AGCGAACGCUGGCGGCAGGCCUAACACAUGCAAGUCGAACGAACUCUUCGGAGUUAGUGGCGGACGGGUGAGUAACACGUGGGAACGUGCCUUUAGGUUCGGAAUAACUCAGGGAAACUUGUGCUAAUACCGAAUGUGCCCUUCGGGGGAAAGAUUUAUCGCCUUUAGAGCGGCCCGCGUCUGAUUAGCUAGUUGGUGAGGUAAAGGCUCACCAAGGCGACGAUCAGUAGCUGGUCCUGAGAGGAUGAUCAGCCACAUUGGGACUGAGACACGGCCCAAACUCCUACGGGAGGCAGCAGUGGGGAAUCUUGCGCAAUGGGCGAAAGCCUGACGCAGCCAUGCCGCGUGAAUGAUGAAGGUCUUAGGAUUGUAAAUUCUUUCACCGGGGACGAUAAUGACGGUACCCGGAGAAGAAG
This 416-nucleotide ribosomal RNA is filed under the name uncultured bacterium. RNAcentral describes it as "bacterial SSU rRNA". It matches the Rfam family "Bacterial small subunit ribosomal RNA", at positions 29 to 490 of the family's 1533-position model. The record is from RNAcentral.